This 460-nucleotide ribosomal RNA is filed under the name uncultured bacterium. RNAcentral's name for it is "partial 16S ribosomal RNA". It matches the Rfam family "Bacterial small subunit ribosomal RNA", at positions 338 to 795 of the family's 1533-position model. The record is from RNAcentral.
CCUACGGGAGGCAGCAGUGAGGAAUAUUGGUCAAUGGGCGCGAGCCUGAACCAGCCAAGUAGCGUGAAGGAUGACUGCCCUACGGGUUGUAAACUUCUUUUAUAAAGGAAUAAAGUGAGGCACGUGUGCCUUUUUGUAUGUACUUUAUGAAUAAGGAUCGGCCAACUCCGUGCCAGCAGCCGCGGUAAUACGGAGGAUCCGAGCGUUAUCCGGAUUUAUUGGGUUUAAAGGGAGCGUAGGUGGGUUGUUAAGUCAGUUGUGAAAGUUUUCGGCUUAACCGUAAAAUUGCAAUUGAUACUGGCAGGCUAGAGGACAGUUGAGGUAGGCGGAAUUCGUGGUGUAGCGGUGAAAUGCGUAGAUAUCACGAAGAACUCCGAGUGCGAAGGCAGCUUACUAAACUGCCACUGACAUUGAUGCUCGAAAGUGUGGGUAUCAAACAGGAUUAGAUACCCUGGUAGUC